AUUUUUCUGAGUUCUACUAUUUUUUUUAAAAUAAAGAGUAGAAAUAAUUUCUUGCUAGAUUAAAUUUUUUAUGAUUUUCCAGCUUGAAUUUUGAAAACGUUUAAUUCAAAUUUUCUCGU
RNAcentral lists this small RNA (119 nucleotides) under Plasmodium billcollinsi. Its description in RNAcentral is "Plasmodium sp. DRC-Itaito sRNA PBILCG01_1425600". Lineage: Eukaryota; Apicomplexa; Aconoidasida; Haemosporida; Plasmodiidae. The record is from RNAcentral.